UGUCUCCUGAUCCCCAUCUCCCUCUUCCUCUCCCCUCCUGCAUGACCAGAUUGUUCUCUGAAAUGUAGUUGUGUGAUUUUGCUGCAGGCAACUGGUUGAGUUACAGGUAAAUUGCUGCUUUCUCUCAUACCUGUAUUUCAGAUGAGUUCACAGAGAAGAGUAAGAUAAACAAUGGAGGCUAAUAAUGAGAGCCAGGAAGGAUGGUGAGGGGAAAUCACACAGAAAGAAUUGGCACCUUUUUUCCCCCCACCUUAUCUCUGUUACAUCUUGUGAUGGCACAAAGAUAUGCAAGAGAUGUAGCACUAGCACUUGUGCAAGCCCUCCUUAGCCAUGAGAGGAUGCUCUUGGUACACAAACUUUGGAUGAGCCAGAGUCCCUGCCACCAUCCUCCUCAUCAUUUUCAAUGCAGCCUUUGGGGCAGACUGAAGAUCUGACAGGGAAGCCUGUGUGCACUGUGCUACCACCCCGACUAUUCUAAUGGCCUUCUGGGAAAUGUAGAUUGAUUUUAUCAUUUCCUUCCAACAGGAAAACUCACUUUUGAGCCCUUCAUCAUCAUUGUAGCUCCACAUGUGUAGGACUCUGCACAGUCACCUUGUCUUUGUAUGCUUUGUUGCACACUCCUUAAUUGCACACAUUUUCUGUGGAGAUUGCAGAAAACUGUUGGUUCCCAAACUUAAGUCACAUCAAAUCUAUAGCUACCUGUUAUCAUACAGUUUGUAUCAUUGAUUCUUCACUCUUUUUCUUCAUUUGUACUUCUUAGGGAGUAAAAACUCAUCAGCUUUCAAGUUGCUAAUGUUUCAUAAUGUUAAAUGAUUUGUCCCAGAGGAUCUGGUGGCCAAGUCAGGAAAGGAAUUUGUCUUCUAAAUGCCUGCCCUCAUUCUUAAAGGACACUCCCUUGUGUUUCUGCAUCCCCUUGAUAUGAACUCUGAAUAUAGCGUGGAAUAAAUGGAAAAAAUGUCUUAA
Haemorhous mexicanus (house finch) is the source of this 963-nucleotide long non-coding RNA. RefSeq lists it as uncharacterized. NCBI's taxonomy places the organism in Eukaryota, Metazoa, Chordata, Aves, Passeriformes, Fringillidae. The transcript is spliced from 2 exons. The record is from RefSeq and is a predicted model, not a curated record.